This 30-nucleotide non-coding RNA is filed under the name Rattus norvegicus (Norway rat). The record is from RNAcentral. Lineage: Eukaryota; Metazoa; Chordata; Mammalia; Rodentia; Muridae.
UACCAAAGCCAGAGAUGACAAAUGUCAAGC